This 208-nucleotide ribosomal RNA is filed under the name uncultured bacterium. RNAcentral's name for it is "partial 16S ribosomal RNA". It matches the Rfam family "Bacterial small subunit ribosomal RNA", at positions 568 to 774 of the family's 1533-position model. The record is from RNAcentral.
CUCGUAGGCGGCCAACUAAGUCAGACGUGAAAUCCCUCGGCUUAACCGGGGAACUGCGUCUGAUACUGGAUGGCUUGAGGUUGGGAGAGGGAUGCGGAAUUCCAGGUGUAGCGGUGAAAUGCGUAGAUAUCUGGAGGAACACCGGUGGCGAAGGCGGCAUCCUGGACCAAUUCUGACGCUGAGGAGCGAAAAGCCAGGGGAGCAAACG